RNAcentral lists this long non-coding RNA (830 nucleotides) under Equus asinus (donkey). RNAcentral's name for it is "lncRNA (ENSEASG00005034511.1)". The record is from RNAcentral. Lineage: Eukaryota; Metazoa; Chordata; Mammalia; Perissodactyla; Equidae.
AAGUUUUCCAGAUUCAAAGGUAUUUUCUAGAUUGCUCUUAGAUAUCUAACAGGCUCUAAAGAAUGUUUUGCAGUUCACUGAAAAAUAUGAAAAAAGAGCAUAUCCUUCUGGCGCGUGCUUCAGUGGCACACACAGGUGAAUCCCCACGCUGCCUAAGCCUUUGAGAGGGAGGCAGCCUCUAAGGCAGAGCAGCCUGAAGAGUGAGGGGAACGUUCGUGCGCCAAGCCUAGUGACUCCUUUGGACAUCCUAUAUAGCUCCAGAUGGAUUCCCCGGAGUCAUAACUUCUGUCUACACAGUCACUAUCACUGGAAAGAGAUGUCCAAGAAUGUUAGCCACCUAGAGGGGAUCCAAAUUUAUUGAGAAGGGUUUAGAAAUUAAAUAUCACCAGCCUGGAUGAUACUUAACAGAGAGGGUGAAUCUAAGAGGUCCUGGGCCUUCCUGAACUCAGGAAGUCGGCUAAGCUCGGAGAGAAUCCACCUCGACCAUCAGUCUGAUAAUGUCUACGCUGAUCUCCAAUGGCUUCUCCUUAGUCCUUAGCAAGAAACGUUUAGAGUCAUGUUCCUACAGUUCCAUUUACAAAAGGUGCGUCUGGGGAAAAGAGCAUUCAGGCAGAGGAACAGCAAAAAGAAAUUUUCAAGGAAUGUGAUGACCCCUGGGCAGAGAGUCUAUGCUGAUAGUCAUCAUCAAGGACAACUGAAAAAUCAGGAUAUAGGGCAUUGCUCUGGUCUCUGAUGCACAUCCAGUAAAACAAAAGACUGUCAGGAACUAAGAGCAGAUGUCUGCCCCUCCUCCAAGGAUCAGAUGGAGGCCCCACCCAGAGACCAGCCCC